AACGAACGCUGGCGGCAUGCCUAACACAUGUAAGUCGAACGAGACCUUCGGGUCUAGUGGCGCACGGGUGCGUAACGCGUGGGAACCUGCCCUUAGGUUCGGAAUAACUCCCCGAAAGGGGUGCUAAUACCGGAUAAUGUCUUCGGACCAAAGAUUUAUCGCCUUAGGAUGGGCCCGCGUUGGAUUAGCUAGUUGGUAGGGUAAAAGCCUACCAAGGCGACGAUCCAUAGCUGGUCUGAGAGGAUGAUCAGCCACACUGGGACUGAGACACGGCCCAGACUCCUACGCGAGGCAGCAGUGGGGAAUAUUGGACAAUGGGCGAAAGCCUGAUCCAGCAAUGCCGCGUGAGUGAUGAAGGCCUUAGGGUUGUAAAGCUCUUUUACCCGGGAUGAUAAUGACAGUACCGGGAGAAUAAGCUCCGGCUAACUCCGUG
RNAcentral lists this ribosomal RNA (433 nucleotides) under uncultured bacterium. RNAcentral describes it as "partial 16S ribosomal RNA". It matches the Rfam family "Bacterial small subunit ribosomal RNA", at positions 29 to 507 of the family's 1533-position model. The record is from RNAcentral.